UCGAGAAUCAUUCACAAUGGGGGCAACCCUGAUGGUGCGACGCCGCGUGGGGGAAUGAAGGUCUUCGGAUUGUAAACCCCUGUCAUGUGGGAGCAAAUUAAAAAGAUAGUACCACAAGAGGAAGAGACGGCUAACUCUGUGCCAGCAGCCGCGGUAAUACAGAGGUCUCAAGCGUUGUUCGGAAUCACUGGGCGUAAAGCGUGCGUAGGCUGUUUCGUAAGUCGUGUGUGAAAGGCAGGGGCUCAACCCCUGGAUUGCACAGGAUACUGCGAGACUAGAGUAAUGGAGGGGGAACCGGAAUUCUCGGUGUAGCAGUGAAAUGCGUAGAGAUCGAGAGGAACACUCGUGGCGAAGGCGGGUUCCUGGACAUUAACUGACGCUGAGGCACGAAGGCCAGGGGAGCGAAAG
Molecule: ribosomal RNA, 408 nt
Filed under: uncultured prokaryote
Description: bacterial SSU rRNA
Rfam family: Bacterial small subunit ribosomal RNA
Source: RNAcentral